UCCGUAGGUGAACCUGCGGAAGGAUCAUUAGUGAAUUGAAUAUGUUAGCGGACCUCUUCGGAGUCCCUAGCAUCAAAUCAUAUCCAUAACACCUGUGAACUGUAAGGCUGUCUUGAAAACGAAAGUGAUUAGAGCGCCUGCCCAUUUUAUACAAACAUUAAAGUAACAAACGUAGUCUUAUUAUAAUCUAAUAAAACUUUCAACAACGGAUCUCUUGGCUCUCGCAUCGAUGAAGAACGCAGCGAAAUGCGAUAAGUAAUGUGAAUUGCAGAAUUCAGUGAAUCAUCGAAUCUUUGAACGCACCUUGCGCUCUUUGGUAUUCCGAAGAGCAUGCCUGUUUGAGUGUCAUGAAAAUAUCAACCUUGACUUGGGUUUAGUGCUCUUGUCUUGGCUUGGAUUUGGCUGUUUGCCGCUCGAAAGAGUCGGCUCAGCUUAAAAGUAUUAGCUGGAUCUGUCUUUGAGACUUGGUUUGACUUGGCGUAAUAAGUUAUUUCGCUGAGGACAAUCUUCGGAUUGGCCGAGUUUCUGGGACGUUUGUCCGCUUUCUAAUACAAGUUCUAGCUUGCUAGACAUGACUUUUUUAUUAUCUGGCCUCAAAUCAGGUAGGACUACCCGCUGAACUUAAGCAUAUCAAUAAGCGGAGGA
Molecule: ribosomal RNA, 645 nt
Filed under: Solicoccozyma terricola
Lineage: Eukaryota; Fungi; Basidiomycota; Tremellomycetes; Filobasidiales; Piskurozymaceae
Description: eukaryotic LSU rRNA
Rfam family: 5.8S ribosomal RNA (bases 195-348)
Source: RNAcentral